CUGAGAGUCAUGUCAGCCACAAGCAAGUUAUGCUCAUUUUAUAUUUAAGAAAUCGAGGCCCAGAGAAGCCUACAGGUGGACAAAUCAUCUGAUGAGCUGCUGUUGACAAAGUUGUCAUCCUUCUUUAAAAAUGUGGACAGAACUGUAUCUGAGUCUACAAAGACACACAGAGGUGGGUUUCCCAUGAGGAACUGA
Molecule: long non-coding RNA, 195 nt
Filed under: Chinchilla lanigera (long-tailed chinchilla)
Lineage: Eukaryota; Metazoa; Chordata; Mammalia; Rodentia; Chinchillidae
Description: lncRNA (ENSCLAG00000028837.1)
Source: RNAcentral